Molecule: long non-coding RNA, 815 nt
Organism: Oncorhynchus keta (chum salmon)
Lineage: Eukaryota; Metazoa; Chordata; Actinopteri; Salmoniformes; Salmonidae
Exons: 6
Source: RefSeq, a predicted model, not a curated record
CUACUCUAUCAGACCACACUAGAUCAGGUGACUCCUCCUCAGACCACACUAGAUCAGGUGACUACUCUAUCAGACCACACUAGAUCAGGUGACUCCUCCCUCAGACCACACUAGAUCAGGUGACUACUCUAUCAGACCACACUAGAUCAGGUGACUCCUCCUCAGACCACACUAGAUCAGGUGACUACUCUAUCAGACCACACUAGAUCAGGUGACUACUCUAUCAGACCACACUAGAUCAGGUGACUACUCUAUCAGACCACACUAGAUCAGGUGACUACUCUAUCAGACCACACUAGAUCAGGUGACUACUCUAUCAGACCACACUAGAUCAGGUGACUACUCUAUCAGACCACACUAGAUCAGGUGACUACUCUAUCAGACCACACUAGAUCAGGUGACUACUCUAUCAGACCACACUAGAUCAGGUGACUACUCUAUCAGACCACACUAGAUCAGGUGACUACUCUAUCAGACCACACUAGAUCAGGUGACUACUCUAACAGACCACACUAGAUCAGGUGACUACUCUAUCAGACCACACUAGAUCAGGUGACUACUCUCUCAGACCACACUAGAUCAGGUGACUACUCUAUCAGACCACACUAGAUCAGGUGACUACUCUAUCAGACCACACUAGAUCAGGUGACUACUCUAUCAGACCACACUAGAUCAGGUGACUACUCUAUCAGACCACACUAGAUCAGGUGACUACUCUAUCAGACCACACUAGAUCAGGUGACUACGCUUAGAUUAUUAUUAUUAUUUUUUUAAACUCACUUUGUUAUUGAAAAUCUAGCUAGCAAGCAAGAGAA